Molecule: unclassified non-coding RNA, 210 nt
Filed under: soil metagenome
Description: partial contains 5.8S ribosomal RNA, internal transcribed spacer 2, and large subunit ribosomal RNA
Source: RNAcentral
AACCUUAUGGACCUGCGGGCGUAUACCUGCGGAAGGAUCAUUACCGAGUUUACAACUCCCAAACCCCUGUGAACAUACCAAUUGUUGCCUCGGCGGAUCAGCCCGCUCCCGGUAAAACGGGACGGCCCGCCAGAGGACCCCUAAACUCUGUUUCUAUAUGUAACUUCUGAGUAAAACCAUAAAUAAAUCAAAACUUUCAGCAAUGGAUCU